This 2132-nucleotide long non-coding RNA is filed under the name Homo sapiens (human). Its description in RNAcentral is "HSALNT0301068". Lineage: Eukaryota; Metazoa; Chordata; Mammalia; Primates; Hominidae. The record is from RNAcentral.
CACACUGGAAAAAUGAUGAAAAAACGCACAAAGAGCACACUGUGCCUUCAUUCCCCACGUGUCUUGAUAAACAGUGGGCAGAGAGAUGAAGGCCCUGUUCCCCGGAUAACUUGCUGUGCAGGAGGAGCACCUCUCCCUCCCUGGCUCACUUUCCUUUCUCUCUCCUCAGCUCUCCGCAUUUGUUUUUCACAUUCUCCAAAGUAUUAUACUUUCUUCCUUUUUCAUACACCUUUGAUAUUUCUAUUUCAUCUCGGCCCUGAUACAUCCAGGUUUUUAGCUAAAAGUUUCUGUGUGCAUGUGUGUGUUUUAUUUCAUCAAGCAGAAUUUAGUCUAUGGUUUGUGUAUUUCAGAAGCUCUGUGUUUCAGCUUCUCUUCCCCUGGUACACUGAGCUCCUGCCCCAAGCUCAGGCCGCCUGUGCAUGACAGGUAUGAGGCCAGCAUUCUGUGAUUCACCUGGAAAACACAAGUCCCCACUUCUUCCUCAUUUCUGUGCCUCUCUGGAGGGAACCCUGGCAGCCCUUGCCUCAGUUUCUGGGACAAUCCAGGCAGCUCUCCAUCACUGGAGAACACCAGAUGGAAUGGAUGGAGGCAAUUUUUCAGAAAGUACUUUAAGAGCGGCUUCCUCAGUGGUCUUUCCAGCUGGAAGCAGAGCGUCCAGAAAGCACCGCAUUCUCAGCGCUGUUUCAUUGCCUCAAGAGCUACAGAUGGCUUCCCCAAGCACCUGAAGUCGAUGCUGCUUGCCUGGAUGGAAUAAGCUGCAAGCUGCAGAAACUCUUGUCUUUUCACAGUGGAACUCAGACUCCAGUUUCUUUCUGCCUUGAGAGUGAAAGAAAGGAGAAGACACAGAGUAGGAAAGAGCCAGAAGGUGGAGAAAUUAAUGUUUAAUGCUUGAUACUCCCGGGGCCUGGCCAGCUGCUCAAAAAAAGGAAGGAGGUGAUGAAGAGAGAAAGAAAGGAUGGAAGGAAGGAGGAAGUGGACAAUGAGCCCAGAGCCCUCACCUGAGUUCCAAACAUUUAAGUCAAACUGCCAACUUCAUUCUCCAUUUGGACGAUUUCUCAACAUGUACAAAACCAAGUCCUGAUUUUUCCGUGACCCCAAAUCUGUUCUAUCUGAAGCCUCCCUAUCUCAGUUACUGAGACAGAGUCUGUCUGUCUUUGUCACUCGCACUUCACGCUGGAGUGCAGUGGUGUGAUCAUAGCUCACUGCAACAUCAAACUCCUAGAUUCAAGCGACCUGAUCCUUCCACCUCAGCCUCCGGAGUAGCUGAGACUACAAAUCCUGGCUGAUGGAUGUAAUGAAGGCAUGAACUAUACUAGUUGAACAAGGAAAUGAACUUGAACCAAAUUGUGAAGUUCUCUGCAGUGAAAUAUUAAAGAUUAGCAAGCUAAACAGAGAAAAAGAUAACACUCAAGAAACUGCCUAUAUGUAAGAGAUUCCUUUGAGAACUUUCAAAUGGCUCCUUUCUACAAAAGACCUGAGAAUACUUAACCCCCCACCACUAGCACACUCAAAGCUCAAGGCAAAUGCAUUUUCAAGAUUGACAGGGUCUUGGACUCUGAAAGUCUUUGGACCCAAGAAAAAUCGUGUUAUCUAAGAGAGCAGUUAUUCUGACACAGACUGAUAUCAGGUGCCUGUGGCAUGAAACACGGAAGAGAAUAAUAGCAUCUACCUUAUAAGAAGACAUACUAUAUUCUGGACCACAUAUCUGAUAAUUCUUACAGCCCUUUAAAGAUAAUCAUAACUAGAAUAUUAUCUUAUUUUGUAGCUCAUAGAUGUCAAAAGACUAGCUCAUAAUUUUAUUGCGGAUACAUAGCAGAACCAAGAUUUGAACUCAGACCUGUCUCAUUCCACAACUCAUUUUCCUUGAAGUCAAUAGAUGCCACUGAUCUCUAAAUACCUACAAAAGGGGCUCGGAGGUGGAGAGGGGAUGUCUGAGGAGCCUUAGGACUACCACCCAAUGUUCUGUCUUUAGAUAGAGAUGCUAUCACCAAUCUCUCUUUCACACAUACUCCUCCUCUUCUCAUUUCUGUUCGUGUACUUGGUUCUCAGUGUAAGAUUUUGUUAGAAGAAAGAGGCAUGUUGGUAAAAUAAGAAAUAAUAUAUCAAAAAUAAAAUAAAAUUGUUUGAAAGUC